UACGUAGGGGGCAAGCGUUGUCCGGAAUCAUUGGGCGUAAAGCGCGUGUAGGCGGCUCGGUAAGUCUGCUGUGAAAGUCCAGGGCUCAACCCUGGGAUGCCGGUGGAUACUGUCGAGCUCGAGUCCGGAAGAGGCGAGUGGAAUUCCUGGUGUAGCGGUGAAAUGCGCAGAUAUCUGGAGGAAUACCGGUGGCGAAGGCGGCAUCCUGGACCGGCAUUGACGCUGAGGAGCGAAAGCUAGGGGAGCAAACGGG
This 253-nucleotide ribosomal RNA is filed under the name uncultured bacterium. Its description in RNAcentral is "partial 16S ribosomal RNA". It matches the Rfam family "Bacterial small subunit ribosomal RNA", at positions 524 to 776 of the family's 1533-position model. The record is from RNAcentral.